This is a long non-coding RNA of Gossypium arboreum, 368 nucleotides long. RefSeq lists it as uncharacterized. The record is from RefSeq and is a predicted model, not a curated record. Lineage: Eukaryota; Viridiplantae; Streptophyta; Magnoliopsida; Malvales; Malvaceae. The transcript has 2 exons.
AUUCUUCCCUUUUGUUUUUCAAAAAAUGUUUCUUUUCUCUCUGCGCAGAUUCUCCUAGUCCGGUCUAAGCUCCGGCAAACUGCCACCGUCCUCCGCCGCGGACGUCGUCGCCAGCCACCGUCGAGUUUCGAAAAAGGCAAACGGUGGUGGAGCAGAGGCCACUUGCAGGCGUCGGUGGUGGAUGGGGUGGGGAGCAUGUGCUGACGGCUAGGGUUUCCUUAGCUUCUUCUUUUGUUGUGUGUGUGGGCAUGGGUAGGUUUAAGGUUAUUGGCUUAGUGGGUUUAGGGGUUUUGGGCCAAAAAUUGAGCUUGUACACCUACUAGUUAUAUUUCUAUGCAAGGAAAGCUGGUAAAGUCACUAAAAACAAA